This 1468-nucleotide long non-coding RNA is filed under the name Neodiprion pinetum (white pine sawfly). RNAcentral's name for it is "uncharacterized LOC124221487". Lineage: Eukaryota; Metazoa; Arthropoda; Insecta; Hymenoptera; Diprionidae. The record is from RNAcentral.
AGGAACUAAAAUACGGGGAUAAGACGCGUACCAUUUUUUAGUAUACGAGCAGUGGCGAGUGUCAGGGGGCUGGGGAGAACCAAAUCGACUACUAGCAUACGAAGUGGAUAAUUUAGAUAUUGAAGAAGGCUGUUUUUAAUUUUCAAGCGAACAAGUACACGUGAACAUUUUAAUUUUGUUUUAAUUAAAUAAAUAUAAAAAAUGAGCCACAAAAGUUGCUGUGUUUUGAGCUGUAAAAAUACAAGCAGAAAAAGUGAAUGUAAAUUUUAUAAAAUUCCGACAGUCAAAUGGAAAAUAAACUAAAGAAAAAAGUGGAUAGCUGCAGUAAGAAGGCAAUACCAUCUUCUAUGACAACACCAUCAAGACUCGCGCAGAGCCAAGGCUGAGACUUAGAAACAACACCAACUUGUUUAACCGCGCAAUUAUAAAGCUGCUCGUAAUUAUCUUUGGCAUUACUUUCAUGUUUUAAACCAUAUCGAGUUGAGGCACAAUCGAUUUUAUAAGGGUAUAAAAUAUCUGAUACCAAACUUUCGAUAGGCUUUCUUGACAAUAUUUUAAUAUUGUGCACAUUUGUACUUGCGGAUAUUCUUAAUCGUGUAGCUUUAUACCAAUCAGUCAAUGAGGAUUGUUUCAUUGUUUUACAGGCUAAAUCAAUAAUAUUUUCCUCAGAUAGUUGCACAUUUUUAAUGUAAAAGUCUUUUAUAUUUGUAUCUAGUUCGUUAGCAUUCUUAUAAGUUGCAUGAUCAUCACAAAAAAUCAAAGAAUUCCUAAUACAUUCAGCACAGUCUUCUUCUUCAAUAUUUACUUUUACUUGUGAUAAUAAUGAAUUUAGAACGCUUCUAACUAUAUGAAUAUUAUUUUUUUCUGAUUUUCCUGUUAAAAUUUGUUUUAACGGUGAUUCGGACAGCAACUCACAGAUCUGGACUUCCUGAGUUGCUUUGCAGUUAUUUGUACUUAUGUGGGACCAUAUUCUCAAAGUAUUCUCCUUUCGUAUAUUUGUUAUUGACAAAUUGCCAGGCACUUGGCUUGUCCGAUUGCUGCUCUUGACUUGUCUUUGAUAAACUUUUUAAUCUAAUUCAAAAUAAAAUUAGGGCAGCAAUGUGUUUGCGGUUUUUAUUUUUGCUAUAAACGCUAUUACAUUGCACAUCAAUGACAUGUCGCACCGCAUUUAUAUAAAAUAUUAAAAUUAAAUCUCGAUGAAAUAAUCCUGAUACUACCAUUAGCUACAAUAUAAAUUAUAAAAUUUUCAAUUACCUUUAAACGAUGUAAUGUAAGGCGUUGCAUGAACAGAUGCUUGUCGAAUAAUACGCGAUUUUAUCAAAUAACUUUCGUUAUUUCGCCGAUGUUCCUCGACAUCUCUUACAUGUUCUGCAAGAGCAAGAUUUUUACCCUUGAUGAUACUCUGUGGUUGAAAUGCUAUUGACUGAUUGAUUUGAACCCUGUUUUGAUGUCCAUCGUUUAUUUGAAA